GAGAGAACAACAGGGAUUACCUCAGUAACGGCGAGUGAAGCGGUAACAGCUCAAAUUUGAAAUCUGGCCUCACGGUCCGAGUUGUAAUUUGUAGAGGAUGCUUCGAGCAUGGUCUGGCCUAAGUUCCUUGGAACAGGACGUCAUAGAGGGUGAGAAUCCCGUAUGCGGCCAGGUGCCUACGCUCAUGUGAAGCUCCUUCGACGAGUCGAGUUGUUUGGGAAUGCAGCUCAAAAUGGGUGGUAAAUUUCAUCUAAAGCUAAAUAUUGGCCAGAGACCGAUAGCGCACAAGUAGAGUGAUCGAAAGAUGAAAAGCACUUUGGAAAGAGAGUUAAACAGUACGUGAAAUUGUUGAAAGGGAAGCGCUUGCAACCAGACUUGCGCGCGGCCGACCAUCCGGUGUUCUCACCGGUGCACUCGGCCGUGCUCAGGCCAGCAUCGGUUUUGGCGGCUGGAUAAAGGCCCUAGGAAUGUGGCUCCUCUCGGGGAGUGUUAUAGCCUAGGGUGCAAUGCAGCCUGCUGGGACCGAGGACCGCGCUUCGGCUAGGAUGCUGGCGUAAUGGUUGUAAGCGGCCCGUCUUGAAACACGGACCAAGGAGUCUAACAUCUAUGCGAGUGUUUGGGUGUCAAACCCAUACGCGUAAUGAAAGUGAACGGAGGUGAGAACCCUUAAGGGUGCAUCAUCGACCGAUCCUGAUGUCUUCGGAAGGAUUUGAGUAAGAGCAUAGCUGUUGGGACCCGAAAGAUGGUGAACUAUGCCUGAAUAGGGUGAAGCCAGA
Molecule: ribosomal RNA, 776 nt
Filed under: uncultured fungus
Lineage: Eukaryota; Fungi
Description: LSU rRNA
Rfam family: Eukaryotic large subunit ribosomal RNA
Source: RNAcentral